CCAUUCCCUUCCCCCUCUCUCAGAUAUUCCAGACCAGUGCUCUCCGUCUCCCUGUAAUCCUCGAGGUACGGUGCGCUGUGAGGACCAAAAGGGCGGCUUCCUCUGCCACUGCUUCACUGGCUGGACAGGAGUCCGUUGUGAGAAAGAUGUCAACGAGUGCAACAAGAGGAAUGGAGGAUGUGACCACGAGUGUAACAACACUAUGGGUAGCUACCAUUGCUCCUGUCGCCGCGGUUACAUGCUGGUCGGACGCCAGAUGUGUAACGACGUGAAUGAGUGCCAGGAUCCAGGUAUGUGUGGGACAGCGAGGUGUGUGAACCAGGAUGGAGCCUAUGACUGUCUGUGUGAGACGGGAUAUGUUUACGACAACAACACCAAGACCUGCCUAGGUGAGCAGUACACCAAAAACACAUG
Molecule: long non-coding RNA, 414 nt
Organism: Oncorhynchus nerka (sockeye salmon)
Lineage: Eukaryota; Metazoa; Chordata; Actinopteri; Salmoniformes; Salmonidae
Exons: 3
Source: RefSeq, a predicted model, not a curated record